RNAcentral lists this ribosomal RNA (253 nucleotides) under uncultured bacterium. Its description in RNAcentral is "partial 16S ribosomal RNA". It matches the Rfam family "Bacterial small subunit ribosomal RNA", at positions 524 to 776 of the family's 1533-position model. The record is from RNAcentral.
UACGUAGGGUGCGAGCGUUGUCCGGAAUCAUUGGGCGUAAAGCGCGUGUAGGCGGCCCGGUAAGUCCGCUGUGAAAGUCCAGGGCUCAACCCUGGGAUGCCGGUGGAUACUGUCGGGCUCGAGUCCGGAAGAGGAGUGUGGAAUUCCUGGUGUAGCGGUGAAAUGCGCAGAUAUCAGGAGGAACACCCGUGGCGAAAGCGGCUCUCUGGGACGGUACUGACGCUGAGACGCGAAAGCGUGGGGAGCAAACAGG